CGUAGGGUGCAAGCGUUAAUCGGAAUUACUGGGCGUAAAGCGUGCGCAGGCGGUUAUGCAAGACAGAUGUGAAAUCCCCGGGCUCAACCUGGGAGCUGCAUUUGUGACUGCAUGGCUAGAGUACGGUAGAGGGGGAUGGAAUUCCGCGUGUAGCAGUGAAAUGCGUAGAUAUGCGGAGGAACACCGAUGGCGAAGGCAAUCCCCUGGACCUGUACUGACGCUCAUGCGCGAAAGCGUGGGGAGCAAACAGGAUUAGAUACCCUGGUAGUCCACGCCCUAAACGAUGUCAACUGGUUGUUGGGAGGGUUUCUUCUCAGUAACGUAGCUAACGCGUGAAGUUGACCGCCUGGGGAGUACGGCCGCACGGUUG
This 370-nucleotide ribosomal RNA is filed under the name uncultured organism. RNAcentral's name for it is "bacterial SSU rRNA". It matches the Rfam family "Bacterial small subunit ribosomal RNA", at positions 526 to 896 of the family's 1533-position model. The record is from RNAcentral.